This 2146-nucleotide long non-coding RNA is filed under the name Fukomys damarensis (Damara mole-rat). RNAcentral describes it as "lncRNA (ENSFDAG00000025568.1)". The record is from RNAcentral. Lineage: Eukaryota; Metazoa; Chordata; Mammalia; Rodentia; Bathyergidae.
CUUAGAGUUUGAAAGUGAGUUUAUAAAGUCACCUUCUCUUUUCCCUGUUUCAGGCACUCUAGGACUUACUGUCUCCUAGCUUUAAAAUGGGAAAAGAUAGCACAGAAAGAAAGGAACAGAGACCCUCAGCAAUAGGUCCUGCUCUGACCGCCACCUCUGCCCUCCCCCCUGUCACACCCGAGAGAGAGCGAGGACAGUGGACUGGGGCUCUCGGGCCAACCGUGACCACACCUUCCAGACGCCUCCUGUAUAGCAGCCACACAGGAGCCAGGAUUCAGCUUCUCAAGAUCUUUGUAACUGCUCCGUCACACCUCUUCCUGUUAUCCCACAUCCAAACUCUCCACUCACUACUUACAAAUAGAAACCGUCAGAUUCAGUCGACUCAGACUCCUCCCCAUCCCAGGGACCGAGGGAGGCGGGUGGUGUUGAGGAGAAGACUCCAGUGCACCGAGGGGUCGUGGAACCUGCUCACUGCUGCAGCCAAAACAGCAGUGGAGCCAGCACCAUGAAGCCGCAGAGCCAGCAACCCAGACUGCGUCCUGAGCUCGGGCCUAAAUAACUAAGAGCAAACGCAUCUUGAAUUCUCACCCCCGUUUCUAGGCCAGAUAUCCCUAAUUAUUUUCAAAGCCUUUUAAGCUGCAUAAUCUCUACCAGCUCAUUUGUCCCUAAUUGCCUCUGUUUCCCUGUAGGGAUUGGCAGGUCCUAAAUUUAAAAAGUUUUAUUGAUAACCACUUUGGCAAGGUUUUUUGUUUCCUAGUAGAAACAAACAUGCCAGGAAAGAAAACGCUACAAGAUAGAGUUAGGAUCAUGGGAUUUACCAUUUCCUUCAACACAGAGUAGGGACAAAUCUAGGUCCUCCUGCGUUCUGGCAGCUGGAGGCACAGGACAAAAGAGUGUCAGACUUGGGUCUCUUGCACCAGGUAAAGGUUCGUGCUUCAGUCUCGCCAGCUGGGAAAUGGAACAAAUGAUGACUUGGCCUCACUGAGCACAGCAAGAUGACCAAACCCAUGCCCAUACCUGCGAAGUCUGGCUUUUCUUAGAGAAAACAAAGAUUGCCAACUUACUUGAAUUAUACGUUAGCAAAAUUUGUGUCAACUUUUGAUUCUUCCCAGUACUAAAAGCAACGUGAAUCAGAACCCAAACUGAGAGUUACUAUGGAGAGGUAAAGGUUCAAGAAAUGAAGCAAAGUGGAGGAAGGAAAUCCUCUGGGAACCAUGGACACCCCUCACAGACAGCUGUGCUCAACAGCGGGGAGCCCAUGUGUGGGGCUGCUCUCUCGUCUUCAUUACAUCAGCUUUUCCACAAGCUCACCAUUCCCCCUCAUUACUGCGAGUGCUCCUCCUCUUCCAGAAGCAGGCUCCUGUGGUUACCUGGCACACAAGCCUGAGGUUUUGUACAGAAUCCCAGACCAAAUCAGAGCGGCAGACACAGUCUGAUGCGAAACCCCAAGGACGCACUCCUAAUGUAUGAGAAAACUAGUCUAAUUUCUACUUUGCUGAUUACCACAGUCUCUACGAUUACAUCAAAUACAACCUGAAUUCGAUGUAUCCUUCCCUGAGUGCGCGCCAUGUGCUAGGAAUUGCUCUGUGAGAUGAAUGGAGAAUGGAGAACUGAACAAAAUUAACAUCAUCACCACCAUUAUCGUUACCAGCAUCCCUGCCCCUGUGAAGUUUAUGUUUCUGGAGGGAAAGACAAGAGUGGCAUUCUCUGUAGGAGAAGUAGAUAUUAAUGAAACGUUGCUGUGUAGUCCUAGGAGAGAAAUGAAUUAGUGAGAUUUUGUAUUUGUGUAUCUUUUAAGGCACAUACACUGUAUUUCUCCGGAGUGUACAGGACACUCACGAAUAUUGAGAAGAUACAACUCGAUAGCUUGUAUCCUAUGGGGAGAAGGCAAUUUAGCUAGUUAAUAACCACUGUCGUUUUUUCCCUUCUUUUCCUAUAUAUAACAGAGACACCAAGAAUACUUGUUCACAAUGUAUACCUAAAGAAAAGAAAACAAAACCCCAAAGGGAGCUUGAAAGCAAAUAUCCAGCAAGUACAAUUCAAUAUUGUAAUGUAAUUAUUUGAAAAACAAAGGGGUCUUCUCUGAGAGGUUGAUGAAAGUGAAUCACAAGUGAGCCCAGACUGGGCAAUUUAACAACUUUGAAAG